GCAUCCGUAGCUCAGCUGGAUAGAGCUUUGCCCUCCGGAGGCAACGGUCAUUGGUUCGAAUCCAAUCGGGUGCACCA
This 77-nucleotide transfer RNA is filed under the name Candidatus Phycorickettsia trachydisci. RNAcentral describes it as "tRNA-Arg". It matches the Rfam family "tRNA". Rfam says of the family: Transfer RNA (tRNA) molecules are approximately 80 nucleotides in length. Their secondary structure includes four short double-helical elements and three loops (D, anti-codon, and T loops). Further hydrogen bonds mediate the characteristic L-shaped molecular structure. tRNAs have two regions of fundamental functional importance: the anti-codon, which is responsible for specific mRNA codon recognition, and the 3' end, to which the tRNAs corresponding amino acid is attached (by aminoacyl-tRNA synthetases). tRNAs cope with the degeneracy of the genetic code in two manners: having more than one tRNA (with a specific anti-codon) for a particular amino acid; and 'wobble' base-pairing, i.e. permitting non-standard base-pairing at the 3rd anti-codon position. The record is from RNAcentral. Lineage: Bacteria; Pseudomonadati; Pseudomonadota; Alphaproteobacteria; Rickettsiales; Rickettsiaceae.